UACGGAGGGUGCGAGCGUUAUUCGGAAUUACUGGGCGUAAAGCGCGUGUAGGCGGGGAAGCAAGUCUGAUGUGAAAGCCCUGGGCUUAACCUGGGAAGUGCAUUGGAAACUGUUUUUCUUGAGUACUGGAGAGGAAGGGAGAAUUCCCGGUGUAGAGGUGAAAUUCGUAGAGAUCGGGAGGAACACCAGUGGCGAAGGCGCCCUUCUGGACGGUUACUGACGCUGAGACGCGAAAGCGUGGGGAGCAAACAGG
Molecule: ribosomal RNA, 253 nt
Filed under: uncultured bacterium
Lineage: Bacteria
Description: partial 16S ribosomal RNA
Rfam family: Bacterial small subunit ribosomal RNA
Source: RNAcentral